Molecule: long non-coding RNA, 278 nt
Filed under: Spirodela polyrhiza (greater duckweed)
Lineage: Eukaryota; Viridiplantae; Streptophyta; Magnoliopsida; Alismatales; Araceae
Description: long non-coding RNA (SPOL_LNC000072)
Source: RNAcentral
CUUACAAAGUAUAUCUAUAUCUCAAAUUUUGUUUGACUGAAUUCGGAUAAGAUUUGAAAGAGAAAUUACUCCUUCCACAAAACAUGUCAUGUUGGGUUUAUAACAAAAUUUAUCAAAUGCAUAUUAGUUUUUUUGUUGAUGCCUUUGGGCAUAGAUUUUGAUAUUAAAAAUAUAUGAGAAAAUAUAUAAUUUAUGAUUAGUAUUAUUCACAAGAUUAUGAUUAAUGACUCAUAAGUUUCAUGCAAAUUAAUAUAUUAUUUAUCUAAUGACAUUAUGAC